RNAcentral lists this ribosomal RNA (247 nucleotides) under Clavaria acuta. RNAcentral describes it as "partial 28S ribosomal RNA". It matches the Rfam family "Eukaryotic large subunit ribosomal RNA", at positions 104 to 344 of the family's 3401-position model. Lineage: Eukaryota; Fungi; Basidiomycota; Agaricomycetes; Agaricales; Clavariaceae. The record is from RNAcentral.
AAAGCUCAAAUUUAAAAUCUGGCAGUCUUUGGCUGUCCGAGUUGUAAAUUAGAGAAGCGUUAUCCGCGCUGGCCGUGCAUAAGUCUCUUGGAAAAGGGCAUCAUAGAGGGUGACAAUCCCGUCUUUGGCACGGACUACCAGCGCUUUUGUGAUGCGCUCUCGAUGAGUCGAGUUGUUUGGGAAUGCAGCUCUAAAUGGGUGGUAAAUUCCAUCUAAAGCUAAAUAUUGGCGAGAGACCGAUAGCGCA